ACCUUUCAAUCUGCUGCUUGUAGACGUUAUGGGAAAGUUGUGUCUCUCCCUCUCUCUCUCUCUCUCGCUCCCUUUCCCCAUCCCUCCCUCUUGUCUUCGUCUGUCAUGUGCCUGGAAUACGCUCAUGCUUUGCACAGAGCAGCUGUAGCACGCCUAAUGCAGCCUAACAAAGUGCUAUAGCGGCAAUUUUAAAGUCCAACCGAAUAACACGGCUGGGAUGUUUUCAGGGAAACGCACAGCCAUGUGUUUGACGCCGUGCACGGACUUGGCUGUUCUUCUGUCGCCCGGGAAGCUUGCAGUGAUUUGACUCGUCCUCAGGAAUGAUGGAGAAAGGGAGCGGGCCAGGGCUACACGCUGCAGGAAGUACAGGUCAUCACAAGAUCUCAGGGAUUCUGCUCUCCGUUGGACCCAGAUGAGGCUGGAUGAAGUUAUGGCUCAUAAAUGUCUGGAGCCUCUACUCUGAAGACAUCAAGGAUAUUCAGCUGAUCUCUGAGUAACUGGUGAAGAGGACAAGAGUCGGCAUUUCAGCAAGACAGAAGCUUCAAGGUCUCCAUUCGAACGCUUCACAACCCACACUGUACCCUUUAUGCUUCUUUACUUCUGUCACUGAGUUGGAUAAGACCCCCCCACCCCCCAACCUAUUUAUUUUUAUUCAUUUAUCUUACAAGGACUUCCCAAAAUAGAAUGAAAAAAACUCUGCAUGUUAAAACUGUAUUUCAUGUAAAUGAUUGAAGUUUUUUUUGCAUGUUUUUGACAGCUAAAU
Long non-coding RNA from Cololabis saira (Pacific saury), 763 nucleotides. RefSeq lists it as uncharacterized. Lineage: Eukaryota; Metazoa; Chordata; Actinopteri; Beloniformes; Belonidae. The record is from RefSeq and is a predicted model, not a curated record. The transcript has 4 exons.